Molecule: ribosomal RNA, 450 nt
Filed under: uncultured bacterium
Lineage: Bacteria
Description: bacterial SSU rRNA
Rfam family: Bacterial small subunit ribosomal RNA
Source: RNAcentral
GUGGGGAAUUUUGGACAAUGGGCGCAAGCCUGAUCCAGCCAUGCCGCGUGAGUGAAGAAGGCCUUCGGGUUGUAAAGCUCUUUCGGCGGGGACGAAACGGUUCGUGCUAACACCACGGACUACUGACGGUACCCGAAGAAGAAGCACCGGCUAACUACGUGCCAGCAGCCGCGGUAAUACGUAGGGUGCAGGCGUUAAUCGGAAUUACUGGGCGUAAAGCGUGCGCAGGCGGUUUGUUAAGACAGGUGUGAAAUCCCCGGGCUUAACCUGGGAACUGCGCUUGUUACUGGCAGACUGGAGUGUGGCAGAGGGGGGUGGAAUUCCAGGUGUAGCAGUGAAAUGCGUAGAUAUCUGGAGGAACACCGAUGGCGAAGGCAGCCCCCUGGGCUAACACUGACGCUCAUGCACGAAAGCGUGGGGAGCAAACAGGAUUAGAUACCCUGGUAGUCC